RNAcentral lists this ribosomal RNA (613 nucleotides) under Coltricia hamata. RNAcentral describes it as "eukaryotic LSU rRNA". It matches the Rfam family "Eukaryotic large subunit ribosomal RNA", at positions 72 to 668 of the family's 3401-position model. Lineage: Eukaryota; Fungi; Basidiomycota; Agaricomycetes; Hymenochaetales; Hymenochaetaceae. The record is from RNAcentral.
GGCAUCCCUAGUACUGCGAGUGAGUGGGAAGAGCUCAAAUUUAAAAUCUGGUAGCUUUGCUGCCUGAGUUGUAAUCUGUARAAGCAUUUUCCGCAUUGGACCGUGUACAAGUCUCUUGGAAUAGAGUGUCAUAGAGGGUGAGAAUCCUGUCCAUGACACGGACUCCCAAUGCUUUUGUGAUAUGCUCUCAAAGAGUCGAGUUGUUUGGGAAUGCAACUCAAAAUGGGUGGUAAAUUCCAUCUAAAGCUAAAUACAGGCGAGAGACCGAUAGUGAACAAGUACCGUGAGGGAAAGAUGAAAAGCACUUUGGAAAGAGAGUUAAACAGUAUGUGAAAUUGUUGAAAGGGAAACACUUGAAGUCAGUCAUGCCUUGUGGGACUCAGCCUUGUCUUAUGGCUUGGUGUACUUCCCACAGGACAGGUCAACAUCAAUCUUGGUCAGUGGAUAAAGAAGAGGGGAAUGUAGCAUCUUUGCAGAUGUGUUAUAGCCCUGCUUUGUAUACACUGGCUUGGAUUGAGGAUUGCAGCAUGCCCUUGUGGCCAGGACUUAUCAUGUCACAUGCUGAGGAUGUUGACAAAAUGGCUUUAAGUGACCCGUCUUGAAACACSGACCA